GAAAAACUGAAACAUGGAUACCCCCAAAAAAGGAAGGAACUGACAGUUUGAACUCAUACUUAUCUCAUAAGAGUUUGUGUCCUUCUCUUCUGUGUUUUUUUUUCCCAAUAGAUUGGUGUGGGUUGGUGAUUUCUUCUUUUUUUGAGGGGGAGGAGUUCACAAAAAAAAAGGAA
RNAcentral lists this non-coding RNA (173 nucleotides) under Palpitomonas bilix. The record is from RNAcentral.